RNAcentral lists this unclassified non-coding RNA (244 nucleotides) under plant metagenome. Its description in RNAcentral is "partial contains small subunit ribosomal RNA, internal transcribed spacer 1, and 5.8S ribosomal RNA". The record is from RNAcentral.
UCUCCGAUGGUGAACCAGCGGAGGGAUCAUUACCGAGUUUACAACUCCCAAACCCAAUGUGAACCAUACCAAACUGUUGCCUCGGCGGGGUCACGCCCCGGGUGCGUCGCAGCCCCGGAACCAGGCGCCCGCCGGAGGGACCAACCAAACUCUUUCUGUAGUCCCCUCGCGGACGUUAUUUUUACAGCUCUGAGCAAAAAUUCAAAAUGAAUCAAAACUUUCAACAACGGAUCUCUUGGUUCUG